Non-coding RNA from Heterocephalus glaber (naked mole-rat), 573 nucleotides. The record is from the annotation of a RefSeq genome assembly. Lineage: Eukaryota; Metazoa; Chordata; Mammalia; Rodentia; Bathyergidae.
UGUUCCCACUCGGUGAUCAGGACUGAACACAGAAGGCUUACCAUGGAGUUUAGAAUGAGCUGGAUUUUCCUUCUUGCUAUUUUUAAAGGUGUCCAGGCUGAGGUGCAGCUGAUGGAGUCCGGGGGAAACUUGGUGCAGCCUGGGAAAUCCCUGAAACUCUCCUGUGUGGCCUCAGGAUUCACCUUCAGUGAUUACUACAUGCACUGGGUCCGGCAGGCUCCAGGGAAGGGGCUGGAGUGGAUCUCAUACAUCAGUGGUGGUAGUGGUGAUAUACAGUACGCAGACUCCGUGAAGGGCCGAUUCACCAUCUCCAGAGACAACGCGAAGAACACGCUGUAUCUGCAAAUGAACAGCCUGAAAGCCGAGGACACAGCCGUGUAUUACUGUGCAAGAGACACAGUGAGGGGACAACCAUGUGCUCCCAGACACAUAUCUCCUUGCAGGGCGCGCAUGAACAGCAGGGGGCGCUGGGGACCCACUGAGCAAGGGGCAGGGCCCCAGAAGCAGGUGCAGAGAAAGAAGCUGGGGAGAGAGGGCUUCCUGUUGCCCUCUGGGGUUUCCUCUCUGUAUUAA